RNAcentral lists this ribosomal RNA (253 nucleotides) under uncultured bacterium. RNAcentral describes it as "partial 16S ribosomal RNA". It matches the Rfam family "Bacterial small subunit ribosomal RNA", at positions 524 to 776 of the family's 1533-position model. The record is from RNAcentral.
UACGAACUGUGCGAACGUUAUUCGGAAUCACUGGGCUUACAGGGUGCGUAGGCGGUCGAUGAAGUAGGGUGUGAAAGGCUCUGGCUCAACCAGAGCAUAGCGCUCUAAACUGAUUGACUCGAGCGAGCUAGGGGUAUACGGAACUUCCGGUGGAGCGGUGAAAUGUGUUGAUAUCGGAAGGAACGCCGGUGGCGAAAGCGGUAUACUGGGGCUUGUCUGACGCUGAGGCACGAAAGCCAGGGGAGCGAACGGG